GACGAACGCUGGCGGCGUGCUUAACACAUGCAAGUCGAACGGAAAGGCCCUGCUUUUGUGGGGUGCUCGAGUGGCGAACGCGUGAGUAACACGUGAGUAACCUGUCCCUUACUUUGGGAUAACUUCAGGAAACUGGGGCUAUUACCGGGUAUGAGCUCUUUCUGCAUGGUGGGGGUGGGAAAGAUUCGGCGGUUUGGGAUGGACUCGCGGCCUAUCAGCUUGUUGGCUGGGUAGUGAGUUACCAAUGCUCCGACGGGUAGCCGGCCUGCGAGGGUGACCGGCCACAUUGGGACUGAGGUGCGACCCAGACUGCUACGGGAGGCAGCAGUGGGGAAUAUUGCAAAAUGGGCGGAGGCCUGAUGCAGCGACGCCGCGUGCGGGAUGACGGCCUUCGGGUUGUAAACCGCUUUCGCCUGUGACGAAGCGUGAGUGACGGUAAUGGGUAAAGAAGCACCGGCUAACUACGUG
Molecule: ribosomal RNA, 468 nt
Filed under: uncultured bacterium
Lineage: Bacteria
Description: partial 16S ribosomal RNA
Rfam family: Bacterial small subunit ribosomal RNA
Source: RNAcentral